GAACAAAUUCCUCAAGAAAGCCUGAUACCUGGGAGGCACUAAACGAACAUUAGUGACUAGCUGUUGAAUUUAUUCAACACUGAAUGACUACUCUUUGCAGACUCUGUGUUAAGAGAUGCGAGUAAAGUGGUGAAAACAAGCAAGUCUCUCCCCUUGCGGAAAUCACAUGCAUAAUAAAUGCAUAAACCAAUAAAGAUUGUGUUUACAGAUAGUGUCAAAUGCUAUUUAAAAAUAAUGCAGAUUGAUUAAGGUGGGGAGUAUGAGAAGGUGUGAAGCACGCAAGAAUCUCGGGGCAGAGCAGCCCAGGCAGGGAGAAGAGCAGAGGAGGAAGGAGCUCGGCAGGUGACUGACGGCAGGACACGCCUGCAGGAGUCAAGUGGGACAGGAGACAGCGAAGUCCCAGACACAGCAGGGACCUUGAAGGCUUGGUGGGCUAAUCAAAACUUGGGCUGGAUCCGAAUGAGAGUAGAAGUCAUUGGAAAGAAGGAUUUUAGUAGGAAAAUGAUACCAACUGACUUGCGUUUGGAGAUGGCUCCAACUGCAAUGUGGAGACUGGACGGUCCCGGCAGAGCGGAAGCGGAUGACCAGGCCAGAGCGUUAUGGAACGAGAGCGAAGUCAGCGGAGAAAACCCAUCAUAAUGUUGAGUUAUUUAACACCAUGUGAAUCCUAACUUCCAAAUUAUAAGACAGUUUUUCUAUGCUGUUUAGUAGCAUAGUCUGUAUAUUUCCUUUGGACAACAAAAUUAUUGCCCCCCCCGGGGGAUUUAAAUAUUUCUUAGGAGACCUGAUUGUGAUUUAUACCUAUGGACUCUAAGCAGAAAACUGGCAAGAAAAUAUACAAGAGGAUGACAAUACAAUGUAAUGAGAUGGACGUCAGACUGGGGGUUAGGAGCUGCAGCUCCUGGAACCGGUUCCCCCGCGUUGGGAUGAUGAUGACAUAACCAAGCAAAUCAAAAGGAUAAGAACAAAAAUCACUGGAAUUAUUUCAACAUCGAGAUAA
RNAcentral lists this long non-coding RNA (1000 nucleotides) under Equus asinus (donkey). RNAcentral describes it as "lncRNA (ENSEASG00005031010.1)". The record is from RNAcentral. Lineage: Eukaryota; Metazoa; Chordata; Mammalia; Perissodactyla; Equidae.